RNAcentral lists this long non-coding RNA (758 nucleotides) under Heterocephalus glaber (naked mole-rat). Its description in RNAcentral is "lncRNA (ENSHGLG00100046402.1)". Lineage: Eukaryota; Metazoa; Chordata; Mammalia; Rodentia; Bathyergidae. The record is from RNAcentral.
GGAGAGAGCGGCCGCCUCCUCGGCCCCAUUUUGUGGGAGGAAGCGGUAGAAGCCGCCCUGGUAAUUUUAACUAAGGGGAGAAAGGAAAGCUCCGGAUGACAGCUCCGGGAACCUGACGCGGCAUCUUGGUGGCUUUGGUUGCUCUUCACGCUCCUGGCCGUUGACUGGGAUCCGAGGGGUCGUGGACCGGCUGAUGCGAUGUAGCAGCGGUGGCCGUGGCCCCGCCACCCGUACAGGAAGACUUUUCGCGAGUUUUUAGACGCCGGAGUCUGUAGGUCUCCUCGUCUGCAUCGUGACCCUCGGAGCCCCAGAGGCCACUGCCCAGCGACUCGGGCCGGAGCGGGCGGGACGAGUGGAUGCCCAGCCGGGAUGGUGCUCCGGGGCUGUGGUUGGGACGAAGGCCUCCAACCUGGAAUAGAAGGUGUCAGAGUCGAGAUCUAGGAUUGUGUGCUAUUACUGUUUCAGGCUAGACGUUAAGAGCGUAUUUUUCCAGUAUCAGUCUGCAAUGGGCAAGCCUAGUCACCUUUAUUUCCAAUUCAGAGUGGAGGGGUGACCUGUUUUUACUUUGCAGGGGAGGUUUCCACUUUUAAGCCACUGACUGCUAUUUGUGUGUGUGUGUGUGUGUGUGUGUGUGUGUGUGUAAGCGUGUAAGCUACAAACAUAAUAUGUGUUUUGCUUUUCAGGGCAAAUAUCAAAAGCUAAAGACUUAAGAGUGACACUAAUAUUUUAACUCCUUUUUAAAGUUUUUAAGAUUUGAU